RNA transcript from Zea mays, 2951 nucleotides. It is a transcript of the gene named tuliposide A-converting enzyme 1, chloroplastic-like, with no coding region annotated. The record is from RefSeq and is a predicted model, not a curated record. The transcript is spliced from 5 exons. Lineage: Eukaryota; Viridiplantae; Streptophyta; Magnoliopsida; Poales; Poaceae.
AUGUGCCCUGCAUCAAGUUUGGUGAUGUUUGUUCACAUUCGAUGCAACGAGAGCGUCCACCACGGCUCGCCUCCGUCCGCGACUCCCCCGGGACUCGUCCGCGUCCGCGUCCGUGUCCGCAACCCCACCGCCUCCCCGCUGUACCACAUCUAUGUCGCCUCCCUUGCUGCCGCGGUGCCCGCCGCCGUCGUCUCCGUUGACUACCGCCUAGCGCCUGAGCACUGCAUCCCUGCCGCCUACGACGACACAUUCGCAGCCCUGAAGGUGGUCAUCGCCGCGUGCCGCGCGGAUGGCGCCGAGGCGGAGGCUGAGCCCUCGCUCGCCGCUCACGGCGACGUCUUCCGCAUCGUCCUUGCGGGGGACAGCGCCGGCGGUAACAUGGCGCACAACGUGGCGAUAAGGCUGCGCAAGGAAGGCGGCAUCGAGGGUUACGACGACAUGGUCAGCGGCGGCGUCCUCUUGUACCCUUAUUUCUAGGGGAAGGAGCUGCUGGGCGCGGAGCCCACGGAUCCCGGCUACCGCGCAAUAUUCGAUCCCACUUGGGAAUUCAUCUGCGGCGGAAAGUUCGGCCUCGACCACCACUACGUCAACCCAAUGGCAUCGCCGGAGGAGUUGAGGCAGCUCGGUACCCGCCGCGCGCUGGUGACCAUGGCGGACCAGUGCUGGUUCGUGGAGAGGGCAAGGGCGUACUCAGAGGGAAUCAAGAAGUGCGGCUCGGAGGAGGAGCUCGAGCUCUACGAGACCAAGGGUGAGGCGCCCGUCUUCUUCUUGCCUAAACACGACAACGAAAAAGCCGUGAAGGAGCUCGCCCUCGUGGCCGAAUUCGUCCGGCGCUGUUGAGUAUCAGCGUCAAAAUAGUGUUAUGAUCAGAAGAGUCCGCUCCGCUGCCAUGCGCUGUGCGCCCUGGCGCUCAUCGCGGCGUCCCACCCGCGCGAUGUUGUGGCCCCGCUCGUCCCGCGCAUCCUCGCCGCCGCUCUCUGCCGCGUUCGGGACCAGGACUCCUCCGUCCGCACCGCGGCGGUGGCCUCGGCCUCGACGUCCGCCGUGCUUCGGCCCCUCACGGACGCGCUCCUCCACGAGCAGGACCAGUGCGCGCAGCUAGCGGCCGCGCUCGCCAUGGCCGCUGCCGUCGAGGCGUCCGCCGUCACUGUCGACCUUGCUUCCUACCUCCACAGGCUCCAACCGCGCCUCCUCAAGUUACUUCGCAGCAACGCCUUCAAGGCGAAGCCCGCGCACAUCACCCUCAUCGGCGCCUGCGCGACCAUGGGCGCCGAUGUUGAAGUCACCGCCUCCAUCUCGUGCCUCCGCGAUGCAAUCGCUAGCGAUGACUGGGCAACGAGGAAGGCUGCGGCGGAGGCGCUUGCUGCAUUGGCCCUAGAGCACACGGAUCUUCUCACGACCUACAAAUCCUCUUGCGUCACCUUCUUCAAGGCCAGAAGGUUUGACAAGGUCAAGGUUGUGCGAGAGUCGAUUAACCGAAUGAUUGAGGCGUGGAAGGAGAUCCCGGGUGCUGAAGAGGACGAGUGAUCCUCCGCUCUGCCACCAGCGUCCCAGUCACAACGAAGAUCUUCUCUUACAUGUGAGGGGUAUCCCCUUCGUAGUUCUAACUGUACUUGGCUAAUUUCUACUACUUCCGCAUGUACAGAUCUGCUAAUCUUUUUCCUAUACCUUGUAAGAGGUAAAGAACUAAAUAAGAGUCUCUUGUUGUUUACUUAUAAACUCUUGAUGAACAGUUGGGUAAAUGCUACACCUAUUUCUUUUUUAUAUACAAAUUAUCCUGUAACUACUUAGGGAGUGCAAGUGAUGGGCGAUAUCCAGCUGCUUCACUGGGCUCAAACUCAGUUCCUUCAGCAACAAGGAAGAGCAUAUUAUCUGUAAGCAGAUCAUCUUCGCCUGAUGUGUCUACCAGUGUCACCAAAACAAAUAGUCCUUCAUCCAUCAGGAACAAGAAACUGUCACCGCCUUCAUAUCACAAAGUGCGCCAAGCAAAUAAUUGUGAUUACAAGGUCAACAUUGUUGUUUCUCCGGAUGCUACCCCAAUCAAAGUGGUGACAGAGGAGAAGCUGCUGAAAGGACGCGGUGUGAGAGACAGACUGGAGUCUAGGAGGACGCUCUUCAAAGGCAGCGAGGAUAGGUCGGCCAAGCUGGCUGCCCACAAAGCAGGGUCACGAGUUGUUCUGUACGAAGGUGGUGGUAAUUUGGAAUAGAUUUUAGAAGUUGAAGGUGGAUCAGAAAGGCAUGCAGUUCACAAAGAUGAGAGCUUGUCAGAAAUAAGGACACAGCUCCUUCAGAUUAAAAAUCAGCAAAGCAGUUUAAUGGAGCAAAUGAGUAUGUCACCAUUAAUGUUGAGUUAUCGAUCGAGUAGCUCGUUAAUUCAUUAAAAUUCCUUGCAGAUUCUGACUCUAAUGUUACGGUUUAUUUUUCUAGUAACCAGAGGAUGACAAGCCUGCUACAGGAGUUGGUCCUAAGUUAUACAAUAAGCCUGAUUUUUUUACAGAGUACACAAAUGCCAGGUUUUUCCUGUUUGGGCUAGCAUCACAAAUGGAAACAAAAAAUUGGACUCAGCCCAUCGUGAAGAUAUGAAGGAAGAGCACUAUCCCAUUAUUCUGUUUUUUCGGAAGAAGACCAUGUUUCUAGCAUGAACAUGCCAGCAUGGUGCCAUCAACAACUUCUCUGUUAGCUCACGGUACACCAUGCUCCAGCCUGCCCCUUGGUUAUCACUAAUUCAGUCAUCUGUGGUGCUGAUUGUGUUCCCAAGAUGCACUGAAAUAGAGCAAGAUCAAAUGAGGAUGAAGUUACUGUGUAGAGAUUUUUGUUCCCCCUUUGUAGCAGCAUCCAUGGAUUUUUAUUUGCGCAAAAUUACUCUCUUUUACUGGUUCAUUCAAUAAUUCAAUUUGUUGCUUGGAAACCACUGUAUAAUAAAUACAAAUGCUAUGGUAUGAUUUUGUGAA